AGAGUUUGAUCCUGGCUCAGAAUCAACGCUGGCGGCGUGCCUAACACAUGCAAGUCGAACGCGAAAGCCCCGCAAGGGGUAAGUAGAGUGGCAAACGGGUGAGUAACACGUGGGUGAUCUGCCUCGGAGUGGGGGAUAACGACUCGAAAGGGUCGCUAAUACCGCAUAACAUCCUGCCUUUGGAUAGGUGGAGAUCAAAGUUGGGGAUCGCAAGGACCUGACGCUUGGAGAGGAGCCCGCGGCCGAUUAGCUAGUUGGUAGGGUAACGGCCUACCAAGGCAACGAUCGGUAUCCGGCCUGAGAGGGCGGACGGACACACUGGGACUGAGACACGGCCCAGACUCCUACGGGAGGCAGCAGUGGGGAAUUGUUCGCAAUGGGCGCAAGCCUGACGACGCAACGCCGCGUGGAGGACGAAGAUUUUCGGAUCGUAAACUCCUUUCGAUCGGGAAGAACAGCUUUCGGGUUAAAGCCUGAGAGUCUAC
This 485-nucleotide ribosomal RNA is filed under the name uncultured bacterium. Its description in RNAcentral is "bacterial SSU rRNA". It matches the Rfam family "Bacterial small subunit ribosomal RNA", at positions 8 to 478 of the family's 1533-position model. The record is from RNAcentral.